UUCUUCUUGAGAGCGGCGGACGGGUGAGUAAUGCCUAGGAAUCUGCCUGGUAGUGGGGGACAACGUUUCGAAAGGAACGCUAAUACCGCAUACGUCCUACGGGAGAAAGUGGGGGAUCUUCGGACCUCACGCUAUCAGAUGAGCCUAGGUCGGAUUAGCUUGUAGGUGAGGUAAUGGCUCACCUAGGCAACGAUCCGUAACUGGUCUGAGAGGAUGAUCAGUCACACUGGAACUGAGACACGGUCCAGACUCCUACGGGAGGCAGCAGUGGGGAAUAUUGGACAAUGGGCGAAAGCCUGAUCCAGCCAUGCCGCGUGUGUGAAGAAGGUCUUCGGAUUGUAAAGCACUUUAAGUUGGGAGGAAGGGUUGUAGCUUAAUACGCUGCAACUUUGACGUUACCAACAGAAUAAGCACCGGCUAACUCUGUGCCAGCAGCCGCGGUAAUACAGAGGGUGCAAGCGUUAAUCGGAAUUACUGGGCGUAAAGCGCGCGUAGGCGGCUUGAUAAGAUGGGUGUGAAAUCCCCGGGCUUAACCUGGGAACUGCAUCCAUAACUGUCUGGCUAGAGUACAGUAGAGGGUGGUGGAAUUUCCUGUGUAGCGGUGAAAUGCGUAGAUAUAGGAAGGAACACCAGUGGCGAA
RNAcentral lists this ribosomal RNA (640 nucleotides) under uncultured Gammaproteobacteria bacterium. RNAcentral's name for it is "bacterial SSU rRNA". It matches the Rfam family "Bacterial small subunit ribosomal RNA", at positions 83 to 719 of the family's 1533-position model. Lineage: Bacteria; Pseudomonadati; Pseudomonadota; Gammaproteobacteria. The record is from RNAcentral.